This 397-nucleotide ribosomal RNA is filed under the name uncultured bacterium. Its description in RNAcentral is "partial 16S ribosomal RNA". It matches the Rfam family "Bacterial small subunit ribosomal RNA", at positions 523 to 918 of the family's 1533-position model. The record is from RNAcentral.
AUACGUAGGGGGCGAGCGUUGUCCGGAAUGAUUGGGCGUAAAGGGCGCGUAGGCGGCCCGGUAAGUCUGGAGUGAAGGUCCUGUUUUUAAGAUGGGAAUUGCUUUGGAUACUGUCGGGCUUGAGUGCAGGAGAGGUAAGUGGAAUUCCCAGUGUAGCGGUGAAAUGCGUAGAGAUUGGGAGGAACACCAGUGGCGAAGGCGACUUACUGGACUGUAACUGACGCUGAGGCGCGAAAGUGUGGGGAGCAAACAGGAUUAGAUACCCUGGUAGUCCACACUGUAAACGAUGAAUGCUAGGUGUAGGGGGUAUCGACCCCUUCUGUGCCGCAGUCAACACAAUAAGCAUUCCGCCUGGGGAGUACGGCCGCAAGGUUGAAACUCAAAUGAAUUGACGGGG